Molecule: long non-coding RNA, 622 nt
Organism: Electrophorus electricus (electric eel)
Lineage: Eukaryota; Metazoa; Chordata; Actinopteri; Gymnotiformes; Gymnotidae
Source: Ensembl
GUAACACUGAGCAGGAGAACAAAAACUGUACAAACAACAAUGGUAAAGAUGGAGGCAGCUUAGAGGAAGAACUGAGAGAGACAACCUCCCAGCUUCACAGUGCCAGCAGUGGUGAGAACAGCAAUAGUCAAUCAGCUGGAAAUGAAAAUGAAGGCAGCAAUAUCCACAAGACCACAGAGUCAAGUUUGUCGAAUGAGCCGCUGGCCAACCUGAAGCAGGACAACCCUGAAGAGGGCUCACGGGGUGGGGUGGGCUCAGUGGAGGGCAGCAGCAAUGAGACCAAUGCGGGAGAGGACACAGUGAGCCCUAAUAAGGAUGUCUCCAAAAAGAGCAAAGCUGUAUCGGGCCCGGAGGUGAGCGCUUCACCCCGCCGCUUGCUACGCUGUGCUCUCCUCUGAGCACCACAGGCCAUGUCCCCAACACUCCCACUGACCAGCCCAUCUCGUGAACUCUGAUUUUAGGUUGACUUCUUGACAAAGGGAAACGAGACCUUGGAGGUCUAGUGUGUUGGGAUGGGGGGCAGUUUGCAGAACUUGAUGAAUACCAAAAAUAAAAAUGUUAAUGCUGCCUAGUUUUGAUAAAAUAUUUAAUAAGGAGUACAAUUGUUAUGCGGGCAAACAUC